RNAcentral lists this ribosomal RNA (680 nucleotides) under Amphidoma languida. RNAcentral describes it as "LSU rRNA". It matches the Rfam family "Eukaryotic large subunit ribosomal RNA", at positions 1 to 658 of the family's 3401-position model. The record is from RNAcentral. Lineage: Eukaryota; Dinophyceae; Gonyaulacales; Amphidomataceae.
GACAUGAAGUUAGGUCAGCAAACCCGCUGAAUUUAAGCAUAUAAGUAAGCGGAGGAAAAGAAACUAAAUAGGAUUCCCUUAGUAAUGGCGAAUGAACAGGGAUCAGCUCAGUAUGGAAAUCGGGGCUUCCCAGCCUUGAAUUGUAGUCUCAAGAGGUAUCGCCAACGGAGGCGCAGAUGUAAGCCUCUUGGAAAAGAGCAUCAAUGAGGGUGAGAAUCCCGUUUGUCAUCUGCAGUCCCCCGUGCACGGUGUAUCUUCUAAGAGUCGCGUUCCUCGGGAUUGGAGCGUAAAGUGGGUGGUAAAUUUCAUCUAAGGCUAAAUAUGGGUUCGAGACCGAUAGCAAACAAGUACCAUGAGGGAAAGAUGAAAAGGACUUUGAAAAGAGAGUUAAAAGUGCCUGAAAUUGCUGAAAGGGAAGCGAAUGGAACCAGUGCUCUUGGCGAGAUUGUUGCGCGCUAUGGUGAUUGCUGGCUGCUUCAGCGCAAGCGGGGUAGUUGGUACUGAGCCUGCCGCGCGCAGUGUUUCUUACCUUGUGCGUCACCGUCGGUUCACAGGCGAGGAUACUUCUGAGGACAUGGUAACUCUUCCACGGAGGUGUGAAUGUCUUCGGUAAUACUCGUUUGUAGACCGCUCACCUUCGGGUUACGAUGACUAAAUGGUUCUAUUCGACCCGUCUUGAA